RNAcentral lists this non-coding RNA (29 nucleotides) under Cricetulus griseus (Chinese hamster). The record is from RNAcentral. Lineage: Eukaryota; Metazoa; Chordata; Mammalia; Rodentia; Cricetidae.
GUAAGACACCUGGAAUAUAGCAAUUCGAC